AAAUCGUUGGAAACGACUGUUAAUCCCGCUUACGCUCUACAGGGGAUGGGACGGGACCUUCGGGCCUUUCCCGAUUGCACGAACCUAUGGGCCAUUAGCUCUUUGGCGAGGUGGUGAGUUACCGGCUUAACUAUGCCUCGAUGUUUAGCCAAGAUGAUCAGGGUGCCUUAGACUGAGAGACUGACCCAACUCCUACACUCGGAUGGAGUGGGGAAUAUUGCAAUCUUCCCCAAUGCCUGAUGCACCCAUGGAGCGAGUGCGAAGGAGGCCUUCAGGUUGUCAACCACUUUUUUUCUGGUGGAAAGGGUAUUACUUAGCACGUAAUGUCUGUGACGUUCCCUACAGAAGAAGGACCGUCUACCUCCGUGCCAGCCGCCGCGGCAAUACGGAGGGUCCGAGCGUUAAUCGGAAUUACUGGAAUUAUAGCGUGCGAA
RNAcentral lists this ribosomal RNA (434 nucleotides) under Bacillus sp. U1. Its description in RNAcentral is "bacterial SSU rRNA". It matches the Rfam family "Bacterial small subunit ribosomal RNA", at positions 144 to 573 of the family's 1533-position model. Lineage: Bacteria; Bacillati; Bacillota; Bacilli; Caryophanales; Bacillaceae. The record is from RNAcentral.